RNAcentral lists this ribosomal RNA (538 nucleotides) under uncultured bacterium. RNAcentral describes it as "bacterial SSU rRNA". It matches the Rfam family "Bacterial small subunit ribosomal RNA", at positions 772 to 1324 of the family's 1533-position model. The record is from RNAcentral.
ACUGAAUAGAUACCCGGGUAGUCCUGGCCCUAAACGUUGCUCGCUCGCUCUACGGAGUAUCGACCCUCUGUGGGGCUAAAGCUAAACGCGGUAAGCGAGCCGCCUGGGUAGUACGAGCGCAAGCUUAAAACUCAAAGGAAUAGACGGGGACUCGCACAAGCGGUGGAUCAUGUGGCUUAAUUCGUAGCUAAGCGAAGAACCUUACCAGGGCUAGAAACCAAGCUGCACGCCUCCAGAAACGGAGGAAGCCUUCGAGGGUGCUUGGCAGGUGAUGCAUGGUUGUCGUCAGUUCGUGGCUUGAGCUGUUCCCUUCAGUGGGGUAACGAACGCAACCCUCGUUGUCUGUUACUUAUGUCAGGCGAGACUGCCCCCUCACGGGGGAGGAAGGUGAGGAUGACGCCAAAUCAGCAUGUCCCUUGAUGCCCUGGGCUGCACACGUGAUACAAUGGGUGGUACAGAAGGACGCAAUACCGCAAGGUGGAGCAAAUCCCAAAAACCACCCCGAGUACGGAUUGAGGUCUGCAACCGACCUCAUGAA